CAGCUGUGUGUUUAUGAGACCCUUCCUCCUCCUCUUCUUUUGUCUUUCCUUCUUCUGACUCCUUUGAUUUCUCUAGUUCUGGCUUUCGAUCCACAUGUCUUGGUCCUGAGAUAUGAUGCUUUGAUACUGUUUCAUGUGGCAUGUGUACUGUUGAAAUCGUCUCUAAUUUUGGCAGCACAGAUCCAUGCAUUGUCUCAACAGACUCUGGUACUAGUUCAUGAGACUCCCUUUUUGGCUGAGUCGGUAUGUGUCCAUGAGAUUCUAAUAUUGAUUCAUGAGGUUUCACUGUUGGCUCAUGAGGUUUAUGCAUUGCCUCAUGAUGAUGUACUAUUGGUUCAUGAGGUUUAUGCAUUGCCUCAUGAUGAUGUACUAUUGGUUCAUGAGGUUUAUGCAUUGCCUCAUGAGGAUGUACUAUUGGCUCAUGAGGUUUAUGCAUUGGCUCAUGAUGAUGUACUAUUGGCUCAUGAGGUUUCACUACUGGAUCAUGAGGUUUAUGCAUUGGCUCAUGAGGAUGUACUAUUGGUUCAUGAGGUUUAUGCAUUGCCUCAUGAUGAUGUACUAUUGGUUCAUGAGGUUUAUGCAUUGCUUCAUGAUGAUGUACUGUUGGUUCAUGAGGUUUAUGCAUUGCCUCAUGAUGAUGUACUAUUGGUUCAUGAGGUUUAUGCAUUGCUUCAUGAUGAUGUACUGUUGGUUCAUGAGGUUUAUGCAUUGGCUCGUGAUGAUGUACUAUUGGUUCAUGAGGUUUAUGUAUUGCCUCAUGAUGAUGUACUAUUGGCUCAUGAGGUUUAUGCAUUGCCUCAUGAUGAUGUACUGUUGGCUCAUGAGGUUUAUGCAUUGGCUCAUGGGGUUUAUGCAUUGUCUCAUGAUGAUGUACUAUUGGCUCAUGAGGAUUAUGCAUUGCCUCAUGAUGAUGUACUAUUGGUUCAUGAGGUUUAUGCAUUGGCUCAUGAUGAUGUACUAUUGGCUCAUGAGGUUUAUGCAUUGCCUCAUGAUGAUGUACUAUUGGUUCAUGAGGUUUAUGCAUUGCCCCUUGAUGAUGUUCUACUGGUUCAUGAGGUUUAUGCACUGCCUCAUGAUGAUGUACUAUUGGCUCAUGAGGUUUAUGCAUUGCCUCUUGAUGAUGUACUAUUGGCUCAUGAGGUUUAUGCAUUGGCUCAUGAUGAUGUACUAUUGGCUCAUGAGGUUUAUGCAUUGGCUCAUGAUGAUGUACUAUUGGCUCAUGAGGUUUAUGCAUUGCCCCAUGAUUAUGUACUAUUGGCUCAUGAGGUUUAUGCAUUGCCUCAUGGUGAUGUACUGUUGGCUCAUGGGGUUUCACUAUUGAUCCAUGAGUUUUAUGCAUUGGCUCAUGAGUUUUCACUAUUGGCUCAUGAGGUUUCUCUGGCUCACGAGGUUUAUGCAUUGCCUCAUGAGGACUCACUAUUGGCGUGUGAGUAUUUACUAUUGGCCCAUGAGGAUUGACUAUUGGAUCAUGAGGUUUAUGCAUUGCCUCAUGUGAAUUCACUAUUGGAUCAUGAGGUUUAUGCAUUGACUCAUGAUGAUGUACUACUGGCCCAUGAGAAUUCACUAUUGGCUCAUGAGGAUUCACUAUUGACUUGUGAGGAUUCACUAUUGGCUCAUGAGGAUUCACUAAUGGCUCAUGCGGUUUAACUAUUGGUUCAUAAGGAUUCACUAUUGGCUCAUGAGUUUUAUGCCCUGGCUCAUGAAGUUUCACUAUUGGCUCAUGUGGCUCAUGAUGUUUAUGCACUGGCUCAUGGGGAUUCACCAUUGUCUCAAGUGGUUUAUGCAUUGGCUCAUGAGGAAUUACUAUUAGCUCAUGAGGUUUAUGCAUUGACUCAUGAGGUUUCACUAUUGGCUCAUGAGGAUUCAUGAUUGUCUCAAAUGGUUUAUGCAUUGGCUCAUGAGAUUCUGGUAUUGGCUCAUGAUGUUUAUGAAUUGGCUCAUGAAGUUUUACUAUUGGAGAUUUCUGUUUUGGUUCAUGAUUUAUUUUUAUUGAUUCAUGUGAUUUUUGUAUUGGUUCAUGAGAUUCUGGUAUUGACUUAUGAACAUGAUAUUUAUUCAUUGGCUUAUGAAAUCCCGAUAUUGGCUUGACAGGCUCUGGAAUUGACUCAGCCGAUUCUGGCAUUGGCCCAACAGACUCUUCUUCAGUUACUUCAUGCU
Sinocyclocheilus anshuiensis is the source of this 2157-nucleotide RNA transcript. It is a transcript of the gene named ATP synthase subunit a-like, with no coding region annotated. NCBI's taxonomy places the organism in Eukaryota, Metazoa, Chordata, Actinopteri, Cypriniformes, Cyprinidae. The transcript is spliced from 5 exons. The record is from RefSeq and is a predicted model, not a curated record.